UGGGGAAUUUUGGACAAUGGGCGAAAGCCUGAUCCAGCCAUGCCGCGUGAGUGAAGAAGGCCUUCGGGUUGUAAAGCUCUUUUAGUCGGAAAGAACGAGUUGCAAUGAAUAAUUGUGAUUUAUGACGGUACCGACAGACAAAGCACCGGCUAACUACGUGCCAGCAGCCGCGGUAAUACGUAGGGUUCGAGCGUUAAUCGGAAUUCCUGGGCGUAAAGGGUGCGCAGGCGGUCUUGCAAGUCAGAUGUGAAAGCCCCGGGCUUAACCUGGGAAUUUCGUUUGAAACUAGGAGACUAGAGUGCAGCAGAGGGGAGUGGAAUUCCAUGUGUAGCAGUGAAAUGCGUAGAGAUGUGGAAGAACACCGAUGGCGAAGGCAGCUCUCUGGGUUGACACUGACGCUCAUGAACGAAAGCGUGGGGAGC
RNAcentral lists this ribosomal RNA (422 nucleotides) under uncultured bacterium. RNAcentral's name for it is "bacterial SSU rRNA". It matches the Rfam family "Bacterial small subunit ribosomal RNA", at positions 355 to 769 of the family's 1533-position model. The record is from RNAcentral.